GAUGAAGAACGUAGCGAAAUGCGAUAAGUAAUGUGAAUUGCAGAAUUCAGUGAAUCAUCGAAUCUUUGAACGCACAUUGCGCCCCUCGGUAUUCCGAGGGGCAUGCCUGUUCGAGCGUCAUUAUAACCCCUCAAGCUCAGCUUGGUGUUGGGGCCUGCUGCACUGGCAGCCCUUAAAAUCAGUGGCGGCGCCAUCUGGCUCUAAGCGUAGUAAUUCUUCUCGCUAUGGAGUCCUGGUGGAUGCUUGCCAUCAACCCCCAAUUUUUCUAUGGUUGACCUCGGAUCAGGUAGGGAUACCCGCUGAACUUAAGCAUAUCAAUAAGCGGAGGA
This 329-nucleotide unclassified non-coding RNA is filed under the name soil metagenome. RNAcentral describes it as "partial contains 5.8S ribosomal RNA, internal transcribed spacer 2, and large subunit ribosomal RNA". The stretch from base 1 to 120 matches the Rfam family "5.8S ribosomal RNA", at positions 35 to 154 of the family's 154-position model. The record is from RNAcentral.